Molecule: ribosomal RNA, 253 nt
Filed under: uncultured bacterium
Lineage: Bacteria
Description: partial 16S ribosomal RNA
Rfam family: Bacterial small subunit ribosomal RNA
Source: RNAcentral
UACAGAGGUCCCAAGCGUUGUUCGGAUUCCCUGGGCGUAAAGGGUGCGUAGGUGGGCAGGUAAGUCAGUGGUGAAAUCUCCGAGCUUAACUCGGAAACUGCCAUUGAUACUAUCUGUCUUGAAUUAUCUGGAGGUGAGCGGAAUAUGUCAUGUAGCGGUGAAAUGCUUAGAUAUGACAUAGAACACCAAUUGCGAAGGCAGCUCACUACGGAUAUAUUGACACUGAGGCACGAAAGCGUGGGGAUCAAACAGG